RNAcentral lists this transfer RNA (67 nucleotides) under Umbonium thomasi. RNAcentral's name for it is "tRNA-Tyr". The record is from RNAcentral. Lineage: Eukaryota; Metazoa; Mollusca; Gastropoda; Trochida; Trochidae.
UGUAAGAUGGCUGAGAUUAAGCGAAAGAUUGUAGCUCUUUUUACGGAGGAGAACCCUUCUCUUAUAA